ACCUUCUCAUGAGCUCCUCUCAAUCGCAUCCAUGAUUCUGUACGGAUUCGCACGAGAAGCAGAGCCAGUGCACAGAUCAAAACAGGCUCGCCCUACAUGCUUAUGGGUGUUGCCCAUGUCUGCUGUGCAACAAAU
This is a small nucleolar RNA of 135 nucleotides. Its record names the gene SNORA75. It matches the Rfam family "Small nucleolar RNA SNORA75". Rfam says of the family: U23 belongs to the H/ACA class of snoRNAs. snoRNAs bind a number of proteins (including dyskerin, Gar1p and Nop10p in the case of the H/ACA class) to form snoRNP complexes. This class are thought to guide the sites of modification of uridines to pseudouridines by forming direct base pairing interactions with substrate RNAs. The record is from Ensembl.